AUUGAACGCUGGCGGCAGGCCUAACACAUGCAAGUCGAACGAGUGGCGGACGGGUGAGUAAUGUCUGGGAAACUGCCUGAUGGAGGGGGCUAACUACUGGAAACGGUAGCUAAUACAGCAUACCAUCGGAUGUGCCCAGAUGGGUUUAGCGAGUCGGGGGGGGAAAGGCUCACCUAGGGGACGCUCCCUAGCUGGUCGGAGAGGAUGACCAGCCACACUGGCACUGAGACACGGUCCAGACUCCUACGGGAGGCAGCAGUGGGGAAUAUUGCACAAUGGGCGCAAGCCUGAUGCAGCCAUGCCGCGUGUAUGAAGAAGGCUUUCGGGUUGUAAAGUACUGUCAGCGGGGAGGCGUUACCCGCAGAAGAAGCACCGGCUAACUCCGUGCCAGCAGCCGCGGUAAUAC
RNAcentral lists this ribosomal RNA (406 nucleotides) under uncultured bacterium. RNAcentral describes it as "partial 16S ribosomal RNA". It matches the Rfam family "Bacterial small subunit ribosomal RNA", at positions 29 to 526 of the family's 1533-position model. The record is from RNAcentral.